GAGCUUGAGGUCGACUUUACGGCCAUUUAAGGCUCCCAUUCCCCUCCUGUACAUUAAUUGGUGAAAUCUGAAGAGCGUGGAACAGAACUGCAAAUACUUAGAGGAGAAAAUCAGCAACUUUACUACUAUCUUUAAAGACCAAACGACCAACCAGUCACAGAGAUAACAGAGACUAUAUAAUAACGAAGAUGUUGACUCCGUAUUUGGCAAAGACCUUGCGGACGAAAGC
RNAcentral lists this unclassified non-coding RNA (229 nucleotides) under Hevea brasiliensis (rubber tree). The record is from RNAcentral. Lineage: Eukaryota; Viridiplantae; Streptophyta; Magnoliopsida; Malpighiales; Euphorbiaceae.